RNAcentral lists this unclassified non-coding RNA (196 nucleotides) under uncultured Auriculariales. RNAcentral describes it as "sequence contains ITS2". The record is from RNAcentral. Lineage: Eukaryota; Fungi; Basidiomycota; Agaricomycetes; Auriculariales.
GAAACUAUCACUCUUGUCCUGUCGCAAGACAUGUCAGGAUGUGGACUUGGACUGUGCCGUAGUUGGCUCGUCUUGAAAUGCAUUAGCCGUGCUGGUUAGAUUCGGCCACCUGGUGUGAUAUAUGUCUACGCCUAUCGUGCUGUCUCUUCCUGAGCGUGGCUCAUAAUCGUCGCUUGUUCGACAACACAAAUUAACG